RNAcentral lists this ribosomal RNA (440 nucleotides) under uncultured bacterium. Its description in RNAcentral is "partial 16S ribosomal RNA". It matches the Rfam family "Bacterial small subunit ribosomal RNA", at positions 338 to 795 of the family's 1533-position model. The record is from RNAcentral.
GCUACGGGUGGCAGCAGGAGGGAAUGUUGCGCAAUGGGCGAAAGCCUGACGCAGCAACGCCGCGUGAAAGAGACGGACUUAGGGGUGGAAAGGUCUGUGAGUGGGGACGAAAAAUGACGGUACCCACAGAGGAAGCACCGGCCAACUCCGUGCCAGCAGCCGCGGUAAUACGGAGGGGGCAAGCGUUGUCCGGAAUCAUUGGGCGUAAAGAGUUCGUAGGCGGCAUGGAAAGUCAGGUGUUAAAGGCGCAGGCUCAACCUGUGUAUGGCACUUGAUACUUGCAAGCUGGACUGCGGUAGAGGUAACGGGAAUUCCUGGUGUAGCGGUUACAUGCUUAGAUAUCAGGAGGAACAUCGGUGGCGUACGCGCUUUACUGGGCCGUAAUUGCCGCUGAGGAACGAAAGCCCGGGUAGCAACUGGGAUUAGAUACCCGAGUAGUC